GACGAACGCUGGCGGCGUGCUUAACACAUGCAAGUCGAACGGAAAGGCCCUGCUUUUGUGGGGUGCUCGAGUGGCGAACGGGUGAGUAACACGUGAGUAACCUGCCCUUGACUUUGGGAUAACUUCAGGAAACUGGGGCUAAUACCGGAUAGGAGCUCCUGCUGCAUGGUGGGGGUUGGAAAGUUUCGGCGGUUGGGGAUGGACUCGCGGCUUAUCAGCUUGUUGGUGGGGUAGUUGCUUACCAAGGCUUUGACGGGUAGCCGGCCUGAGAGGGGGACCGGCCACAAUGGGACUGAGAGACGGCCCAGAGUCCUACGGGAGGCAGCAGUGGGGAAUAUUGCACAAUGGGCGGAAGCCUGAUGCAGCAACGCCGCGUGCGGGAUGACGGCCUUCGGGUUGUAAACCGCUUUCGCCUGUGACGAAGCGGGAGUGACGGUAAUGGGUAAAGAAGCACCGGCUAACUACGUG
This 468-nucleotide ribosomal RNA is filed under the name uncultured bacterium. Its description in RNAcentral is "partial 16S ribosomal RNA". It matches the Rfam family "Bacterial small subunit ribosomal RNA", at positions 28 to 507 of the family's 1533-position model. The record is from RNAcentral.